CUGGACGAAGUACCAAACGCUGUGAGAAGAGCUGAGAUGAUACCUUUAAAAUGUUUUAGUGGGUUUGCACGUACAAGGACAACGUACAAAACUGGAUAGAAGACAGCUGCUUGAACACAAUGGCCAACAAUAUUGGUUAACACAAAAAGACCCAUAGCUCUGAAAAGCAAAGUGAUAUCACUUGCUUCCACGAUAUUUCCUGCAAUUAUACUGCAAAUUCCAAUUGGG
Non-coding RNA from Paramuricea clavata, 228 nucleotides. NCBI's taxonomy places the organism in Eukaryota, Metazoa, Cnidaria, Anthozoa, Malacalcyonacea, Plexauridae. The record is from the annotation of a GenBank genome assembly.